RNAcentral lists this transfer RNA (77 nucleotides) under Thermoprotei archaeon. Its description in RNAcentral is "tRNA-Thr". It matches the Rfam family "tRNA". From Rfam's summary of the family: Transfer RNA (tRNA) molecules are approximately 80 nucleotides in length. The record is from RNAcentral. Lineage: Archaea; Thermoproteati; Thermoproteota; Thermoprotei.
GCCCCGGUGGUAUAGCCAGGCCAAAUGUUAUAGGCUAAGUAAGCCUAGGAUCCCGGGUUCAAAUCCCGGCCGGGGCA